RNAcentral lists this unclassified non-coding RNA (203 nucleotides) under Hevea brasiliensis (rubber tree). The record is from RNAcentral. Lineage: Eukaryota; Viridiplantae; Streptophyta; Magnoliopsida; Malpighiales; Euphorbiaceae.
CAAAUAUAUGACAAUAAUAAUAACUUGAGUGUGAAAUACAUUAAACUAAGUUUUUUAAGUAAUGCAUCAACUCAUUUACUUUGAAUUUUCUUUUGGUAUAAAAAUGAUAUAUACUUCUAAAAAUGUAUAUUUUAAUAAACAUGUCCUUGACGUGUCAUAUCCUAGAUAUUUUAAAUAUGGCAUGUCACCGUAUCCAUGUCGAG